UUCUCUGCCGGGUGCCCACCGCCGGGGCUCAGCGGCGCUCCUGCGAGCGGUGGCGUCUGCCUCGCUUCCCUCCCCCCCCCCCCCCCCCGUGUGGGAGAAAGGCGAGGAAGUCUUGAGAAACAAGAGUUAGGAAACUGAGUGAGUUUCACAAACUUGGCCUAAUGAAGACUGACCAGUAAGAGAGACGCCUGUAAGAGAAAACUGAUAGGAAAAUGCAGGGUUUGCUGAGAGAUGAGACCUGAAUUUACAAAGAUCCUCAAAAAAAGAGAUUCCCAGAUGAGAACAGGAUGGAGAAAAGCCUGGAAAACAUUUGCUUUUUCAUCUGGUAGAGAGAGGGAGAGAAAAGUAGCAACUCGCGCUGACUGGAAUGCUGUGCUGCUGGCCACAGGGAAAGAUGCGUACUUAAUGAGCCUUCCUGGAGAUGCCACACUAUGCAGCACUAGAUGUUACCAACAGAAGAUGAUUACCAUGAGGCAGUGUCUCUGGAUAAGAGAGUCAAUUUGA
RNAcentral lists this long non-coding RNA (504 nucleotides) under Dromaius novaehollandiae (emu). Its description in RNAcentral is "lncRNA (ENSDNVG00000002693.1)". The record is from RNAcentral. Lineage: Eukaryota; Metazoa; Chordata; Aves; Casuariiformes; Dromaiidae.